AUUGAACGCUGGCGGCAUGCUUUACACAUGCAAGUCGAGCGGUAACAGGUUAAGCUGGCGAGUGGCGAACGGGUGAGUAAUGCAUCGGAACGUGCCCGAUCGUGGGGGAUAACGCAGCGAAAGCUGCGCUAAUACCGCAUACGAUCUGAGGAUGAAAGCGGGGGACCGUAAGGCCUCGCGCGAUCAGAGCGGCCGAUGUCAGAUUAGGUAGUUGGUGGGGUAAAGGCCCACCAAGCCGACGAUCUGUAGCUGGUCUGAGAGGACGACCAGCCACACUGGGACUGAGACACGGCCCAGACUCCUACGGGAGGCAGCAGUGGGGAAUUUUGGACAAUGGGCGAAAGCCUGAUCCAGCAAUGCCGCGUGCAGGAAGAAGGCCUUCGGGUUGUAAACUGCUUUUGUACGGAGCGAAAAGGUCCUUUCUAAUACAAGGGGCUCAUGACGGUACCGUAAGAAUAAGCACCGGCUAACUACGUGCCAGCCGCCGCGGUAA
Molecule: ribosomal RNA, 493 nt
Filed under: uncultured bacterium
Lineage: Bacteria
Description: partial 16S ribosomal RNA
Rfam family: Bacterial small subunit ribosomal RNA
Source: RNAcentral